GACGAGCCUCACAAACGUUAUUCGGAAUUACUGGGCUUAAAGGGUGCGUAGGCGGUGCGGAAAGUUGGGUGUGAAAUCCCUCGGCUUAACCGAGGAAUUGCGCUCAAUACUACCGUGCUCGAGGGAGAUAGAGGAAUGCGGAACUUACGGUGGAGCGGUGAAAUGCGUUGAUAUCGUAGGGAACACCGGUGGCGAAAGCGGCAUUCUGGAUCUCUUCUGACGCUGAGGCACGAAAGCUAGGGUAGCAAAC
RNAcentral lists this ribosomal RNA (250 nucleotides) under uncultured bacterium. RNAcentral's name for it is "partial 16S ribosomal RNA". It matches the Rfam family "Bacterial small subunit ribosomal RNA", at positions 524 to 773 of the family's 1533-position model. The record is from RNAcentral.